CCCUAGGGUCGUAAAGCUCUUUCGCCAGGGAUGAUAAUGACAGUGCCUGGUAAAGAAACCCCGGCUAACUCCGUGCCAGCAGCCGCGGUAAUACGGAGGGGGUUAGCGUUGUUCGGAAUUACUGGGCGUAAAGCGCGCGUAGGCGGAUUAGUCAGUCAGAGGUGAAGUCCCAGGGCUCAACCCUGGAUCUGCCUUUGAUACUGCUAGUCUUGAGUUCGAGAGAGGUGAGUGGAAUUCCGAGUGUAGAGGUGAAACUCGUAGAUAUUCGGAGGAACACCAGUGGCGAAGGCGGCUCACUGGCUCGAUACUGACGCUGAGGUGCGAAAGUGAGGGGAGCAAACAGGAUUAGAUACCCUGGUAGUCCACACCGUAAACGAUGAAUGCCAGUCGUCGGGUAGCAUGCUAUUCGGUGACACACCUAACGGAUUAAGC
RNAcentral lists this ribosomal RNA (432 nucleotides) under uncultured Alphaproteobacteria bacterium. Its description in RNAcentral is "bacterial SSU rRNA". It matches the Rfam family "Bacterial small subunit ribosomal RNA", at positions 415 to 865 of the family's 1533-position model. Lineage: Bacteria; Pseudomonadati; Pseudomonadota; Alphaproteobacteria. The record is from RNAcentral.